GGUAGUUCUUGGGUGACACACCCCAGAAAUAGGCUCCCUCCUUUCUGAUUCCAGAGUGCGCCACCCAAGAACCGCU
Non-coding RNA from Myotis lucifugus (little brown bat), 76 nucleotides. Lineage: Eukaryota; Metazoa; Chordata; Mammalia; Chiroptera; Vespertilionidae. The record is from Rfam.